RNAcentral lists this ribosomal RNA (441 nucleotides) under uncultured bacterium. Its description in RNAcentral is "bacterial SSU rRNA". It matches the Rfam family "Archaeal small subunit ribosomal RNA", at positions 856 to 1294 of the family's 1478-position model. The record is from RNAcentral.
UUAAAGGAAUUGGCGGGGGAGCACCACAAGGGGUGAAGCCUGCGGUUCAAUUGGAGUCAACGCCGGGAACCUUACCGGGAGCGACAGCAGGGUGAAGGUCAAGCUGAAGACUUUACCUGACGAGCUGAGAGGAGGUGCAUGGCCGUCGUCAGCUCGUGCCGUGAGGUGUCCUGUUAAGUCAGGCAACGAGCGAGACCCCUGCCGUUAAUUGCUACCAUUAUCCGCAAGGAUGGUGGAGCUAGUUGACGGGACUGCCGCCGCUAAGGCGGAGGAAGGAAGGGGCAACGGCAGGUCAGUAUGCCCCGAAACUCCUGGGCCACACGCGGGCUGCAAUGGUAGANACAAUGGGUUCCUACCUCGAAAGGGGGAAGCAAUCCCCAAACUCUACCCCAGUUGUUACUUGAAGGCUGCAACCCCCCUCACNAAUCUUGGAAUCCCUAA